RNAcentral lists this unclassified non-coding RNA (203 nucleotides) under Hevea brasiliensis (rubber tree). Lineage: Eukaryota; Viridiplantae; Streptophyta; Magnoliopsida; Malpighiales; Euphorbiaceae. The record is from RNAcentral.
AGGCAUUGCAUUUGAACUAUCCUAAGCUUCUAAAUCAAUUUUUGUUACUUGCUUGUCUGGCUUAAAAUUAGUAUAAAAGGUUAAUAUAAUAAUAUUAAGGUUCUAUAUUUUCACAGUAUAUCAUUACUAACAACAAUAAGCUGUGACCUUAUUUGAGUUACGUAGAAUUUUAUCAAGAAAAUGCAGAAAUCAGUGAGACAGUU